UGUUAAAUCUUGUAACGUUAAUUCUAAAAGUGAAAGAAAUUUAUCAAAGGAAAAUACAAGAAAAGAUAGAUUCUAUUUUCUUGCGAAGGGUGUAAACGAAGCCACACUAAGAUUAAGAGCAAUCCAAAUCAGCAGUUAGUGUCUUUGGUUCCGAUUCCCGCAACCGAUUCGCGUCCAAGAAAUCAGAUUCGCAACCAAAAGGGUCGGACGGCCAACGCGAUUCCGAGAAAUCUGCUGAUUCCCGCAGUUCAUUUCCGAAUCGGUCGCGACCCCAGAUUUUCACCGCUUCUUCACUGUAUUUAUCCGCCUGCCAUCUAUUAGGAACCCUUGUUCUUUUUCUUUUUCCGCCGACAGCGCGUGCUCAGCGAAGAAGACAGGGCUCGGGCGGCGCCGGCGCCGGCCCCUCCACGACCUGCCUCCGGUGCCUCCACUCCCAGCCUUCGGCGCCUCCACGGCAGGCCGGGCUCCUGUCCAGCGCCGCUCUUGCUCCUGCCUCCUGUCCCCACUCUGAAGCACGGCGCGAUGGAGGCUGCAGGUCACAGCCGACCAAAGUUCACGGAGCUCACUCGUCCGAUCGUCCCUCAGCAGUCCUGCUCCCUCAGUCCCUCUGCUCCCUGUACUGAAGGUCAAGCUUCUCUGUAGGAGUGGUUACAGGUUGGGGAUGCGAGCAGAACAUGGCUUCGGAUCCACGAGCAGUACCUCUCAGUUCCAUCGGGUGAAAGAAGCAUUUGGAAGAAGAUAAGGAUUUGAGGAAGAAGAUAAGGCCCCUUUGUAUGACGAGUGGGUCCUGUAGAUGAAAAUAUUAAAGAAAAAAAGAAAAGAAUGGAAAAGGAUGUAUAGAGCUGGAUUUUAGAACACAUGGUUGUAAUAUUUAGAAUUUAAUUAUUUAAUGUAUGUUCAAAUUUAUUUAAAUUCUAGUUCAAAUAUAUUUUUUAUUUAUUAUAUGAGAUCAUUUUCUAUUUCUAUAAGCUAUAUUUAUAUAGAACAU
Molecule: long non-coding RNA, 988 nt
Filed under: Panicum hallii
Lineage: Eukaryota; Viridiplantae; Streptophyta; Magnoliopsida; Poales; Poaceae
Description: long non-coding RNA (PHAL_LNC000245)
Source: RNAcentral